RNAcentral lists this ribosomal RNA (1582 nucleotides) under human metagenome. RNAcentral's name for it is "bacterial LSU rRNA". It matches the Rfam family "Bacterial large subunit ribosomal RNA", at positions 1343 to 2925 of the family's 2925-position model. The record is from RNAcentral.
CCCUAAGGAUUCCUACGCAACGUUCAUCGUCGUAGGGUUAGUCGGGACCUAAGGCGUAUCCUGAAAAGGAUGGUCGAUGGAUAACUGGUUAAUAUUCCAGUACUUAUUUAUAGAGUGAUGGGGUGACGCAUCGAGAUUUGUAAGAGCUUAUUAAGGAUUUGAGUCGAAAGAGUGAGGUUUUUAUGACGUUAGUCGUAAAGGUAGUUGCAGGAAAAUCCACAACUAUUAAUACUGAGCUUGAUCGGGAUUUAACUCCUCGGAGUUAGAAAUUCUUAUCGUUUUGGUGCCGAGAAAAACCUCUAAACUUAAUCUAUAGAUAACCCGUACCCAGAUCAGACACUUGUGGGGUGGUAGAGAAUACUAAGAUAAUCGAGAUAACUAAUGGGUAAGGAACUUGGCAAAUUAGCGGACGUACUUUCGAAAUAAGUCCUGUCCCGAGCAAUCGGGAUCGCAGCGAAAGAGAUGGGGGGAACUGUUUAUCAAAAACACAGCUCGCUGCUAACUCGUAAGAGGAUGUAUAGCGGGUGAUGCCUGUCCAAUGCCAGAAUGUUAUGCUCUCUUGUGCAAGCUCGAGGGUUAAGCACUGGUGAAUGACGGCCGUAACUAUGACGGUCCUAAGGUAGCGAAAUUCCUUGUCAGGUAAGUUCUGACGCGCAUGAAUGGCAUAAUCAUCCCCAUGCUGUCUUACCCUUAGACUCGGUGAAAUUACAAUCCCGGUAAAAAUGCCGGGUAGUCACAGUUAGACGGAAAGACCCUGUGAAGCUUUACUGUAGAUUGAUAUUGGACUGUAGCAUGUUUUGCUCAGUAUAGGUGGGAGGCUUUGAUGUUUCGACUUCGGUUGGGGCGGAGCCAAAAGUGAGAUACCACCCAAAAUAUGUAGCAGUUCUAAUCCCUGUGUUGGGAGACAGUUUCAGUUGGACAGUUUACCUGGGGCGGGUGCCUCCUAAAAAGUAGCGGAGGCGUGCAAAGGUUUGCUUACUACGGAUGGAAACCGUGGUGAAUGUGUAUUCGCAAAAGCAAGCUUGACUGUGAGACUGACAGGUCGAACAGAUACGAAAGUAGGCGAAAGUGAUCCGGAUCUUCCGAGUGGAAGGGGAUCCGCUCAACGGAUAAAAGUUACUCCGGGGAUAACAGGCUAAUGGAAUCUAAGCGUUCAUAGCGACGAUUCCGUUUGGCACCUCGAUGUCGACUCGUCGCAUCCUGGGGCUGUAGAAGGUCCCAAGGGUUGGGUUGUUCACCCAUUAAAGCGGGACGCGAGUUGGGUUCAGAACGUCGUGAGACAGUUCGGUCCCUAUCUACUGUGACCGUAGGAUAUUUGAGAGAUGCUGACCCUAGUACGAGAGGACCGGGUUGGACGAGCCUCUGAUAGUACCAGUUGUUCCACCUAGGAGCACGGCUGGAUAGUUAAGCUCGGAAAAGGUAACCGCUGAAAGCAUCUAAGUGGGAAACUUGUCUCAAGAUUAGAUAUCCCUCUCCUUUAUGGAGGUAAGACCUCUGGUAGACUACCAGUUUGAUAGGCAUUAAGUGUAAGCCCUGUAAGGGGUUGAGCUGAGAUGUACUAAUUGGUCGAGCGGGUUUAUCG